This 446-nucleotide ribosomal RNA is filed under the name uncultured bacterium. RNAcentral describes it as "bacterial SSU rRNA". It matches the Rfam family "Bacterial small subunit ribosomal RNA", at positions 47 to 540 of the family's 1533-position model. The record is from RNAcentral.
CCUAAUACAUGCAAGUCGAGCGCCCUUUCGGGGGAGCGGCGGACGGGUGAGUAACGCGUGGGAACGUGCCCUAUGGUGCGGAACAACUGAGGGAAACUUCAGCUAAUACCGCAUGAGCGCUACGGCGGAAAGAUUUAUCGCCAUAGGAGCGGCCCGCGUUGGAUUAGCUAGUUGGUGGGGUAAUGGCUCACCAAGGCUACGAUCCAUAGCUGGUCUGAGAGGAUGAUCAGCCACACUGGGACUGAGACACGGCCCAGACUCCUACGGGAGGCAGCAGUAGGGAAUCUUGCGCAAUGGGCGAAAGCCUGACGCAGCCAUGCCGCGUGAAUGAUGAAGGUCUUAGGAUUGUAAAAUUCUUUCACCGGGGACGAUAAUGACGGUACCCGGAGAAGAACUUCNGCUAACUUCGUGCCAGCAGCCCGCGGUAAUACGAAAGGGGCUUAGCG